AACGGCAGCACAGUAAGAGCUUGCUCUUAUGGGUGGCGAGUGGCGGACGGGUGAGGAAUACAUCGGAAUCUACUCUGUCGUGGGGGAUAACGUAGGGAAACUUACGCUAAUACCGCAUACGACCUACGGGUGAAAGCAGGGGAUCUUCGGACCUUGCGCGAUUGAAUGAGCCGAUGUCGGAUUAGCUAGUUGGCGGGGUAAAGGCCCACCAAGGCGACGAUCCGUAGCUGGUCUGAGAGGAUGAUCAGCCACACUGGAACUGAGACACGGUCCAGACUCCUACGGGAGGCAGCAGUGGGGAAUAUUGGACAAUGGGCGCAAGCCUGAUCCAGCCAUACCGCGUGGGUGAAGAAGGCCUUCGGGUUGUAAAGCCCUUUAGUAGGGAAAGAAAUCCAGCCGGCUAAUACCUGGUUGGGAUGACGGUACCCAAAGAAUAAGCACCGGCUAACUUCGUGCCAGCAGCCGCGGUAAUACGAAGGGUGCAAGCGUUACUCGGAAUUACUGGGCGUAAAGCGUGCGUAGGUGGUCGUUUAAGUCCGUUGUGAAAGCCCUGGGCUCAACCUGGGAACUGCAGUGGAUACUGGGCGACUAGAGUG
This 596-nucleotide ribosomal RNA is filed under the name uncultured Pseudomonadota bacterium. RNAcentral's name for it is "bacterial SSU rRNA". It matches the Rfam family "Bacterial small subunit ribosomal RNA", at positions 65 to 648 of the family's 1533-position model. Lineage: Bacteria; Pseudomonadati; Pseudomonadota. The record is from RNAcentral.